Molecule: long non-coding RNA, 660 nt
Filed under: Dasypus novemcinctus (nine-banded armadillo)
Lineage: Eukaryota; Metazoa; Chordata; Mammalia; Cingulata; Dasypodidae
Description: lncRNA (ENSDNOG00000050352.1)
Source: RNAcentral
CCAUGGGAACCCGCCCCCUCUCCACCCCUCCUCCGGGGACUGAGCAAUCUGACUCUCCCGAGCCGGGAGGUGUUGCUCCAGUUGAGGUGCGCUGCGAAGGACUUUGGUUUGCAGAUGGUUGACCCGAUGAAGUCGGAAGCUUGAGCGGAGGAGGUCCGAGCGGCCCUGCCUCCCGUGACCGGCGCUCCCGAAUUUUCCUCGGCGUCCGGUGGUCCGCGCGCUUCAGGGGCCUGAGCGUUCUGAGGCGAAGGGGGCGGAGACGCCGAUGCCCAGCUCUGGCUCGCGCGGCCCCGCUCGCUCUGCGCCCGCCAGCGUCUUGUCACUCCCCGCCGCCGACAGGUGUGGGAUGGUACAGAACUUCUGGAGGCCACAAAUGCCCCUUUUCCUGGAGACGCAAUGCAAGGUGAGCUGUUGCACCCAUCUGUGUGACAGCACAGCCUCCCACCCUGAGACCUGGUAUUUCUCUCCACCUGCCUCUUCAGUUUGCUCCCACUCCACUGGCUGCAGGCCCCCAAGACAAUGAGGUUUCUAAGCCAUUAUAUGGUGUCUGGUGAAGACAGAAAAGAAGGCCUUUCCUCCUGCCCUCCCAUCCUCCCUAGGCUUUCUGGCAACAGGAGGACUUCUGGAGGUAAUGUGCCCCCAUGUUGCUGCAAGGCCCCA